CCCUUAGAUGUCCUGGGCCGCACGCGCGUUACACUGAUGCAUUCAACGAGCUUAUAACCUUGGCCGAGAGGCCUGGGCAAUCUUGUUAACGUGCAUCGUGAUAGGGAUAGAUUAUUGAAAUUAUUAAUCUUGAACGAAGAAUUCCUAGUAAACGCAGAUCAUCAAUCUGCAUUGAUUACGUCCCUGCCCUUUGUACACACCGCCCGUCGCACCUACCGAUUGGAUGGUCCGGUGAAGCCUCGGGAUUGUGGUUCUUGCCGCUUUAUUGUAGCGUGACCGCGAGAACUUGUCUAAACCUUAUCAUCUAGAGGAAGGUGAAGUCGUAACA
This 328-nucleotide ribosomal RNA is filed under the name uncultured eukaryote. Its description in RNAcentral is "partial 18S ribosomal RNA". It matches the Rfam family "Eukaryotic small subunit ribosomal RNA", at positions 1470 to 1796 of the family's 1831-position model. The record is from RNAcentral.